RNAcentral lists this ribosomal RNA (334 nucleotides) under Petta pusilla. RNAcentral describes it as "partial large subunit ribosomal RNA". It matches the Rfam family "Eukaryotic large subunit ribosomal RNA", at positions 42 to 365 of the family's 3401-position model. The record is from RNAcentral. Lineage: Eukaryota; Metazoa; Annelida; Polychaeta; Terebellida; Pectinariidae.
AUUAAUAAGCGGAGGAAAAGAAAAUAACCAUGAUUCCCUCAGUAACGGCGAGCGAAGCGGGAAUAGCCCAGACCAAAAUCUGUGGGUCUCUGGCCCACCAGAACUGUGGUCUUUGCGCCGGGGAUAUGCCAGCGGCACGGACCUUCUCAAGUUCCUUGGAAAGGGGCCUCCCAGAGAGGGUGCUAGGCCUGUAGGUGGGGGGUUCGUUCGUUGGCGCUUCAACGGCAUUAGAGUCGGGUUGUUUGGGAAUGCAGCCCUAAGUCGGUGGUAUGCUCCAUCUAAGGCUAAAUACCAGCACGAGUCCGAUAGCGAACAAGUACCGUGAGGGAAAGUU